UAUCACAAAUUACCCCUGACUGGGUGGCUUAAACAAUAGGAGUUUGUUUUCACACAGGUCUGGAAGCCAGAAGUCCAAGGUCAAGGUGGCAGAAGGAUUGGUAUCUUGUGAGAACUCCCUUCUUGGCUGCUAAGUCGCCUUCCUCUCCGUGUCUGCAUAUGGUCUUCUCUCUGUGUCUGUGACCUGUGAAAUAUGGACAGUUAUGCCACCUGAGGGGAAGCCCAAAGAUUCACUGAGAUGGCGUGAAAGAGCCUGGCAUGGUUCCUGUUGUAGUUCUCCUAGCUGGACUCUGGGCUCAAGAAUGUGCAGCAACCUCUCUGGGGUCCCUAAGGACAUGCCAUCCAGAGAUGAGACAGAUACAUUUACUUCUGGGAAGGUUCCCACAAGAACAGCCGAGGUGGCUUCACAGCAGCUCUUUCCCUAGCUGAUCUCCAUGCUGGGAGCCUCCACCUUUCAACUUGCCCUAAGACGAAGAGGAGUGGAGGUUUGGCGAAGAUGUCAGAGUGGCUUCAAACUGAAAUAGGAAUGCUCUAGCCUUGGAUUGGGGCCCAGGCCACUGCCACUUGCACUGGUUGUCAGAUUCCAGGGGUCAGCAGUUUCCCAGGCUGGGGUGAUGAGCUGUUCCUUUGUCAAGUCUGAAGCAAUUGCUGAGAGCAGUUGAGGAGAGUCUGGGAGAAGGAGAGAGUGCCAGGUCAGAUGGGAGAGCUGCCCUCUCCUUGCUGUAAUACACAGUGUGUGGAGGACAUAAUUGAAGAGGGGGAAGGACUUUCUUAAACUCCAGGAGUGUCGCAGAGCCUCUGGAUCCAGUGCUGGCCAAGGCCACCCCCACAUCUCUCCAUGGCUCACCUGGUUCCCUUGUGUUUGUGGGCUCUAGUGGCAGGAGAUGAAGGCAGCCAUGCAAAAGACAGCUGACAUCACACUUACCAUUGUCCCUGCAUGAGAGCAAAUAGGUCUGUCAAUGGCCAGAGUCUGUCCUGUCUCCCUGUUUUGCCUUUCCCAUUGCUGGUUCCCUUCUCUCCAGAAGGUGCCAAAAGGGGAAGAGCGACAGAGAAGUGAGUCUGCUUUGCAUAGCAAGGACAGCUAGGUAACAGUUUUUUGGCUACUGUGCCCUCAGAAGUACCUCUUCCUUCCCAGUAUAAAAGGAAAUCAACAGGUUCAACAGGUUAUAGAAGCAUUGCUCAAUCCUUAGCCUAAGUGCUUGAGGAUUCACUGAGGGGCUAGGGAAGGUCCAGUUGGACUGGACCUGGGCUUUCCAGCCUCCUCCACAUUAUCUGUGGAGACACUAAGCCUCCUCUGCUCCUGGCCCCCAGCCAAGCCUGGCCACAUGCCUGGAACCCCUGCCCACAAGCUGAGAGGCCCUGUGGUUGGUUUAGCAGCCUCAUCUUCCUGGAGCCCAGGCUGGCUUUCACCACCAUUUUUUAGUUUCUACUCCCAGUGCUUCCCAAGCUUGGGUUCUCACUGCCUAAGUCUCAUUUCCUUGGCUUGGUCGGUGGUCAGGAUGUUCUUGAGGUUGGGGCGGUCACUAGAUGCCACACACUGGACUCUCACUUCCUGGGUGGGAGGGGUCUUCUCCGUCUCAUCAGCCCCUCAGGUGGUCAGCCUCAGUAGUGACCCAUCGCGUCAGCUGGGGACACGUCGGAGCUGGCCACACUGUCUAUUAACCACUGGGAUUUGUAUCUCUUGGCCUCCUGCCCUCCAUUCCCACCCAGUGGCAAGUCAAUCCCUGCAGACCACCACCUUGUGACUGUGCAGUCUGGCUUACUUCCUGGCUGAGCCCUGAGGGAGGGUCAGCGUGGGGAAGCUAACGUGUCAGUGGACUUCAGGCUGCCCAUGACCUCUCCUAGAGCCAUGUUCAACUCUCCUGCUCUCUUCUUCGACCGUCUCCCUGGGAGUGUGUCUUCCUGUCUCACUGGCUCUAGGCCUAGGAUUUUUACUUCUAGUCACCCAGAAUGUCUUACCAGUCUCUCGGCCAGUGCCUUUGUCCUCAGUCACCCAAUUCUGAUUGUUUUCCUGUUACAAAUGUUUCAUGGCUCUCUCUGGCCUACCACAUUCAUAGGUCUACAGUGUGACCUCCACCCCAUUUCCUAACAUCUCCUACACCCGCCUCCCAGUCAGGAAUCACUGUUUGUUCCAUUCCCGGAAGCUGUGUUUCUUCUUGGACAUGUACUUUCUUUGCUGAGCACUGUGGCUCACGCCACUCUCUCUGGCCCGUAUGCCCUUCUCCAGGUUUCUUGGGUAGUUCAGAAAAUCUUGCCAAACUUCACACACACAUGUACGAAUUCACCCUUUGUGUUACUCCCAGCCCACUCCUGCCGCAGACUUAUGCAAGUCCCAGCUCUGUUUCAUUGCCCCACACCUCAAUGAUGCAAACCAGAACCAAAACCCACCUCAAGAAAGUCUCGGACUGCACUUUUGAAUCAGUUGGAAAUUUGAACAAAACUUUUUUUUCACGUCUUAUCUGAUCCUUUCACUUUCUAUUUAGAGAGACUCGUUGACCUUUCUUAUAGCCAUGAUGCUGCUUGCCAGGCUUGCAAUACAUUUACAUCUAUAAAUUCAAACUACACUGCUUAUCUUUAUUCCAUGACACAGUCAUCUUCUGUUUUCUUAAUGUUCUGGCCAAAAUUGAAUGUUUUCUUUGGAACUCCUUUAGCAUCGUCUGUUUUCGCGAAGCACUGUCUCAUUUUCUUUUACUCAUUAAUUUAACAAAUGUCACUGAGC
Molecule: long non-coding RNA, 2718 nt
Organism: Fukomys damarensis (Damara mole-rat)
Lineage: Eukaryota; Metazoa; Chordata; Mammalia; Rodentia; Bathyergidae
Exons: 3
Source: RefSeq, a predicted model, not a curated record